GCUUCCAUAGCUCAAUGGAUAGAGCAACACUCUUCUAAAGUGAAGGUUCCAGGUUCAAAUCCUGGUGGAGGCG
Molecule: transfer RNA, 73 nt
Filed under: Okeania sp. SIO3B5
Lineage: Bacteria; Bacillati; Cyanobacteriota; Cyanophyceae; Oscillatoriales; Microcoleaceae
Description: tRNA-Arg
Rfam family: tRNA
About the family: Transfer RNA (tRNA) molecules are approximately 80 nucleotides in length. Their secondary structure includes four short double-helical elements and three loops (D, anti-codon, and T loops). Further hydrogen bonds mediate the characteristic L-shaped molecular structure. tRNAs have two regions of fundamental functional importance: the anti-codon, which is responsible for specific mRNA codon recognition, and the 3' end, to which the tRNAs corresponding amino acid is attached (by aminoacyl-tRNA synthetases). tRNAs cope with the degeneracy of the genetic code in two manners: having more than one tRNA (with a specific anti-codon) for a particular amino acid; and 'wobble' base-pairing, i.e. permitting non-standard base-pairing at the 3rd anti-codon position.
Source: RNAcentral